ACAAGCGGUGGAGCAUGUGGUUUAAUUCGAUGCAACGCGAAGAACCUUACCUGGUCUUGACAUCCACAGAACUUUCCAGAGAUGGAUUGGUGCCUUCGGGAACUGUGAGACAGGUGCUGCAUGGCUGUCGUCAGCUCGUGUUGUGAAAUGUUGGGUUAAGUCCCGCAACGAGCGCAACCCUUAUCCUUUGUUGCCAGCGGUCCGGCCGGGAACUCAAAGGAGACUGCCAGUGAUAAACUGGAGGAAGGUGGGGAUGACGUCAAGUCAUCAUGGCCCUUACGACCAGGGCUACACACGUGCUACAAUGGCGCAUACAAAGAGAAGCGACCUCGCGAGAGCAAGCGGACCUCAUAAAGUGCGUCGUAGUCCGGAUUGGAGUCUGCAACUCGACUCCAUGAAGUCGGAAUCGCUAGUAAUCGUGGAUCAGAAUGCCACGGUGAAUACGUUCCCGGGCCUU
Molecule: ribosomal RNA, 457 nt
Filed under: uncultured Enterobacteriaceae bacterium
Lineage: Bacteria; Pseudomonadati; Pseudomonadota; Gammaproteobacteria; Enterobacterales; Enterobacteriaceae
Description: bacterial SSU rRNA
Rfam family: Bacterial small subunit ribosomal RNA
Source: RNAcentral